CCUGCAGUGGGUACGGGGCAGACUAGAGUGCGGUAGGGGAGAUUAGGAAUUCCCUGGUGUAGCGGUGGAAUGCGCAGAUAUCAGGAGGAACACCGAUGGCGAAGGCAGAUCUCUGGGCCGUAACUGACGCUGAGGAGCGAAAGCGUGGGGAGCAAACAGGCUUAGAUACCCUGGUAGUCCACCCCGUAAACGUUGGGAACUAGUUGUGGGGUCCUUUCCACGGAUUCCGUGACGCAGCUAACGCAUUAAGUUCCCCGCCUGGGGAGUACGGCCGCAAGGCUAAAACUCAAAGGAAUUGACGGGGACCCGCACAAGCGGCGGAGCAUGCGGAUUAAUUCGAUGCAACGCGAAGAACCUUACCAAGGCUUGACAUACACGAGAACGGGCCAGAAAUGGUCAACUCUUUGGACACUCGUGAACAGGUGGUGCAUGGUUGUCGUCAGCUCGUGUCGUGAGAUGUUGGGUUAAGUCCCGCAACGAGCGCAACCCUCGUUCUAUGUUGCCAGCACGUAAUGGUGGGAACUCAUGGGAUACUGCCGGGGUCAACUCGGAGGAAGGUGGGGAUGACGUCAAAUCAUCAUGCCCCUUAUGUCUUGGGCUUCACGCAUGCUACAAUGGCCGGUACAAAGGGCUGCAAUACCGUGAGGUGGAGCGAAUCCCAAAAAGCCGGUCCCAGUUCGGAUUGAGGUCUGCAACUCGACCUCAUGAAGUCGGAGUCGCUAGUAAUCGCAGAUCAGCAACGCUGCGGUGAAUACGUUCCCGGGUCUUUGUACACACCGCCCGUCAAGUCAUGAAAGUCGGUAUCACCUGAAUCAC
This 816-nucleotide ribosomal RNA is filed under the name Microbacterium azadirachtae. RNAcentral's name for it is "bacterial SSU rRNA". It matches the Rfam family "Bacterial small subunit ribosomal RNA", at positions 620 to 1429 of the family's 1533-position model. The record is from RNAcentral. Lineage: Bacteria; Bacillati; Actinomycetota; Actinomycetes; Micrococcales; Microbacteriaceae.